CCUACGGGAGGCAGCAGUAGGGAAUCUUCCACAAUGGGCGCAAGCCUGAUGGAGCAACACCGCGUGAGUGAAGAAGGGUUUCGGCUCGUAAAGCUCUGUUGUUGGAGAAGAACGUGCGUGAGAGUAACUGUUCACGCAGUGACGGUACCCAACCAGAAAGUCACGGCUAACUACGUGCCAGCAGCCGCGGUAAUACGUAGGUGGCAAGCAUUAUCCGGAUUUAUUGGGCGUAAAGCGAGCGCAGGCGGUUGCUGAGGUCGGAUGUGAAAGCCUGCGGCUUAACCGAAGAAGUGCAUCGGAAACCGGUCGACUUGAGUGCAGAAGAGGACAGUGGAACUCCAGGUGUAGCGGUGGAAUGCGUAGAUAUAUGGAAGAACACCAGUGGCGAAGGCGGCUGUCUGGUCUGCAACUGACGCUGAGGCACGAAGGCCAGGGGAGCGAAAGGGAUUAGAUACCCGGGUAGUC
RNAcentral lists this ribosomal RNA (465 nucleotides) under uncultured bacterium. RNAcentral describes it as "partial 16S ribosomal RNA". It matches the Rfam family "Bacterial small subunit ribosomal RNA", at positions 338 to 795 of the family's 1533-position model. The record is from RNAcentral.